This 492-nucleotide ribosomal RNA is filed under the name uncultured bacterium. RNAcentral describes it as "partial 16S ribosomal RNA". It matches the Rfam family "Bacterial small subunit ribosomal RNA", at positions 29 to 507 of the family's 1533-position model. The record is from RNAcentral.
AGUGAACGCUGGCGGUGGGCCUAACACAUGCAAGUCGAACGGCCGCACAGUAAGAGCUCGCUCUUACGGGUGGCGAGUGGCGGACGGGUGAGGCAUACAUCGGAAUCUACUUUUUCUUGGGGGAUAACGUAGGGAAACUUACGCUAAUACCGCAUACGUCCUACGGGUGAAAGCAGGGGAUCUUCGGACUUUGCGCGAUUGAAUGAGCCGAUGUCGGAUUAGCUAGUUGGCAGGGUAAAGGCCCACCAAGGCAACGAUCCGUAGCUGGUCUGAGAGGAUGAUCAGCCACACUGGAACUGAGACACGGUCCAGACUCCUACGGGAGGCAGCAGUGGGGAAUAUUGGACAAUGGGCGCAAGCCUGAUCCAGCAAUACCGCGUGAGUGAAGAAGGCCUUCGGGUUGUAAAGCCCUUUUGUUGGGAAAGAAAAGCAGCAGGUUAAUACCCCGCUGUUCUGACGGUACCCAAAGAGUAAGCACCGGCUAACUUCGUG